Molecule: long non-coding RNA, 1508 nt
Organism: Girardinichthys multiradiatus
Lineage: Eukaryota; Metazoa; Chordata; Actinopteri; Cyprinodontiformes; Goodeidae
Exons: 4
Source: RefSeq, a predicted model, not a curated record
GAACAAAAGUUGAACGCGUUGUAGCGCAUAUUUAGUCAAUGACAUGAACACACAACAGUAUUUAUUUGACAUUUUAGGGGACGCUGAGCUUCCCUUGCAGACUUAGAACAAUCGCCACUGGCUCAAAGUCUUUUAGAGCUUAAGAACUCCCUGUAAAUAAUUACAAUUACUAAGGUCAGCUCUGUUUACUACGCAAUGCACUGGUCAUCGUUUGCAGUCAAAGGAAUCAGAGGUCAUGUAUCCAAACUCUUUUUGGUGUAGAUGUGAGCAGCGUGAUUCUGGAUGACUACAACAUCCAUGUCAUUGCCAGCAUACUCAAGCAGUGGCUUCGGGACCUGCCCAGCCCGCUCAUGACCUUUGAACUAUACGAAGAGUUCCUCAGAGCCAUGGGCCAGCCAGACAAGCGGGAAGUGAUCUGAGGCGUAUACUCUGUAAUCGACCAGCUCAGCAGAACACACCUCAGCACAUUGGAGCGUCUGAUCUUCCAUCUGGUCAGGAUUGCCCUACAGGAGGAGACGAACAGGAUGUCCGCCAACGCACUAGCCAUCGUCUUUGCUCCCUGCAUCCUCCGUUGUCCUGACACCAUCGACCCACUGCAGAGUGUCCAAGAUAUCAGCGAAACUACAGCGUGUGUGGAGCUGAUCAUCAACGAGCAGAUGAGAAAGUACAAAGCUCGUCUGAAGGACAUCAGCAGCCUGGAGUUUGCAGAGAGCAAAGCCAAGAGCAGACUGACCCAGAUCAGGCGGUCCCUGGUAAGAUCGGCCUGAGUUUCAGACCUGUUGAGAUGAAACCUGUGAUAUAAAUUAUCAUUAUGCGCGAUCAUGGAGGUGUAUGCUGUUUUCUGGACUUGUCCCCCACCCAUCAUUAAAACAAAAGCAAGGUUCUGCUCCAUGAGCAGCUGGCAUGGUUUACCUACUAAGCCAUGGCAAGAGUUCAUUUACAUCUUCAUCCAGGUUUUGUUAAAUAUAUCUUUAUAUAUGGACAAAUGAUACCAGUCUUAAGAUCUGACAAUCCUGCUGGGAUCCUGCAGAGGGAAACACUGACCUGCAAGGAGCACAUUGUGGGAUUAUAGUGUCUUGCAAAGUCUUCAUGCCCCUUGAAAUAUUUCAUUUUGUCAGCACAAAGUCGUGCAAAUUUGUGAAAUGGAAGUAAAAGGAUAUAGGCUUUUUAAAUUUUUGCCGAGAAAUAUUGGAAAAGUAUGUUUGUAUGUAGCCCCCUUAACUCUGAUACCAUUAAUAAAAUCCAGUUGCCUAAUUAAAAACUAGAGUCCGUCUGUGUGUAGUUUAAUCUCAGUAUAAACCCAGCUCUUCUGUGAAGAGAACAUUAGUGAACAAACAGCAUCAUGAAGACCAAGGAUCACAGGUCAAGUUUAAUGCAGGGCUACGUUCUAAAACAAUAUCCCACUUUACAGAGCUCCGUUCAAUCCAUCAUCUGAAAAAUAGUAUGGAACAACUAUAAACCUCCAAACAAAUGGCAGGUUGGCAAGAAGACAAUAAAUCAGAAAAAUA